RNAcentral lists this long non-coding RNA (2710 nucleotides) under Ursus maritimus (polar bear). RNAcentral describes it as "lncRNA (ENSUMAG00000003850.1)". The record is from RNAcentral. Lineage: Eukaryota; Metazoa; Chordata; Mammalia; Carnivora; Ursidae.
AGCGCGGUGCUAAUUACAGCACACGUUCUCCUCUGGCAGGAAGAGAAAAAGUCUUCUCAGGACGCACAUUAAUUUUAGAAGCUUAAAACUGUUUGGAAAAUCAGGCUCGGCGGAUGCCAGACAGAAGCAGGAGGCACAGGAAAUGACUGACUUGAGCAUCCCUCACCUAGGUCCCAACAGGACGGUCCGUGGGAAACUUCUGUGGUUAUCAACCAGCUUCCUCUGCCAAAGGAGAAAGCAGCGUGCCCCAGUGCUUCCAGCUGUUGCCAAGGCGACUUCUGCCUCCAUCCACGUGCCAGACCAAAGUCAGUGUCAGGACCAAGGACAACUGCCAUGGGACCUUCAUCCUCCACACAGCGACCUGUGUUACUGCAGAAGGACCUUCCCGUCUGGGCUAAAGGAUAUAUAGCUUUUUUUUUUUCUUUCUUUUUAAAAUUUUUCUUUAUUUUAUUUUACUUUUAAUUUUUUUAUUAUGUUUGUUAGCCAACAUAGUACAUCGUUAGCUUUUGAUGUAGCGUUCAACGAUUCAUUAGUUACAUAUACAACUUUUCAUCUUAAAACUGGGAAGAAUGAUGUAAGAAGACUACUUUGUUUCUCUCCAGAUCCCUGGGUAAGCUUUCAGUUUAACCGAUUGGUUUUAAAGCCCCUGAAUCUGUAUCAAUAGGCUAAGUGAUGUCAAUAAGACUCAAACAAAUAGAAGGGGCUCUCUUUAUUUUCAUUUGCAAUAUAAUAGCCCUACAAGAGUGGAUAUCACCUAUGUUAAUGUUUUCAUACAAAGAAAAGUUUUGUUCUUGAGUGUCCAGUUUCCCUCUACAUCAAUAAUACCAAUACUGAUACUAAUACCAUUAGUACCCCAUCAAUAAGAGUAAUGACAAUAGGAAUGCCUUUACAUUAUACGAAGCACCUUAAAUAUGUAAGUGGUUUGACCCUUUCAGAAAUCCAGUGACGUUAUUGAGGAAACAUUGUAACUCCAUUUUGUGAAUGAUGAAAUGAGGUCUGGAGAGGUUAAAUGACUUGCCCUAAGUGUAAUGGUCAAGACAUGGCAGGCUUUGACUUGCUAAAUCUGUACUUUUCCCACUAUGCCUCAAAACGUUUCCAUCUGUGCGCUUCCAGAAGCCACGGCUUUCUGUUAGCCAUUUGUAGUUACAUAUUAUUUUUGUUUAAGAUGAUUAUUUUUUCUGAUUACCAAAGUAACAAGUGGCCAUUGUAGAAAAUUUGAAAAUAUAGAGGAGUAUAAGGAAAAAAUAGUAACCACCCUACUUCUGGACUCCAGCCCUGCAGAAAUAACACAUAUUAACUCUUUUCUCUCUUCCUCUCUCUCUGUGUGUGUGUGUGUGUGUGUGUGAACGCCAUCCUUCUUUGUCCUAGGUUCUUUUAGACGGUUGGAUGUGACCAAUGAGGAUUUUGGAGAAUACCAGGUCACAAACCUGACCCAAUCUUGAGCCUCAUGGAACCACAGAAUCUGGAGGUGGAAGAGACAAAAGGUAAGAACUGCUUUUGCCACAUCCCAGGAAAAUGGGCCUUCCAACUUCUGUUCAACAGCCUCAGGUAGGGUCAGCCUUACUGCUCCCCUGUCACUGUCCCCUGACAAUGUCUCAGGCUGUCCUGAGGCUGCUUUCCGGGUGGGAAGGGCUCGGUGGAGAGUUCUGAGAAGAUGGAAUGUUCCCUCUUCAUUCCUCAGACUCUCCAAGUCCACUUCACAACCAAUUUCAAGUCACUUAACCUCUCUGAGCCUUGGUGUCUUCCUCUGUCACAUGGUGGCAUGAGCGUGUGAUCAACACCCCACACAGUGCCCGCCGAGAGCUCAUCCUCGAGAAGUGUGCACCUCUGUGAUUGGUAUUAUUAUCACGACUACUCUUCUCCCUUGGCCCAACCCCUUGGCUGUAGGCCUAGACUGGCCCCACUAGUGCUCAUGGGUCCCCAGACACACCAUGUACCUGCACGUCUCCCCCUGGUUUGGGCUCCUUCCUCCCUAGGGGAGGCUCCGGAACACCCUCCUGCCUAGCCUGGCACCCACACCAUGCCCCCUCCCACCCUCUCUGAGAACUGACUCACCUGACCAAACUCAGCUCCAACCCAUUGGCCCAGGGCACCCGGCCUCAGCGUGGGAGCCCACAGACCGGGGUGCAGGUCCAGCCUUCUUUUCACUUUUAGAGUACUUACGUACCGUCUGUGAGCCUCAGUGUUCUUACUCUUAAACCAGAGGAAAUGCUGUUGUGAGCAUGAAACGAGGUGAGCCCCUGCAGGUGUGUGUCGAGUAACAAGAGCGCUUGGAAUAUCGGCCCUCUACCCCCUUUAAACCCAUUUUCCCUGUUGGUCCUCACUGUGGCCUGGGAGGCAGGGAUCGCUGCAGGUGAGAACACCGAGCUUUGGGGGAGAAGUGACUGGCUCAAGGCCACACAGUUCCUCAGGGACUGGCGUCAGAGUCAAAUCCAGGACUUCAGACUUCAGAUCCUAUGUGUUACCUACCGUAGUAUCGGUAAAUAUCGGUAGAUACUAUCUGUAAUGUAAUGUACGGAAAGUUUUGUGACUGCUCUAAGAGAUCUCUACACUUUUUUGAAUUAAAUCAAUUAAAUCUAAUGCAGCAGCAGAAUACUAUGAUAUUCCGAUCUUGUGUUACACUAAUUAAUUUAUUUGCAUUUUAUGCUGGGUUUUGGAUGUCAGACUGGGAAGUCGACAAAACUUCUAUUAUAAAGAGAAAAAAAUAAAU